This 450-nucleotide ribosomal RNA is filed under the name uncultured Anaerolineaceae bacterium. RNAcentral's name for it is "bacterial SSU rRNA". It matches the Rfam family "Bacterial small subunit ribosomal RNA", at positions 919 to 1382 of the family's 1533-position model. The record is from RNAcentral. Lineage: Bacteria; Bacillati; Chloroflexota; Anaerolineae; Anaerolineales; Anaerolineaceae.
ACCCGCACAAGCAGCGGAGCGUGUGGUUUAAUUCGAUGCUACACGAAGAACCUUACCAGGGUUUGACAUGCAAGUGGUAGGAAUCUGAAAAGGGACCGACCCUUCGGGGAGCUUGCACAGGUGCUGCAUGGCUGUCGUCAGCUCGUGUCGUGAGAUGUUCGGUUAAGUCCGCUAACGAGCGCAACCCUCACUGUGUGUUAUAUGUGUCACACGGGACUGCCGGUUUUAAGCCGGAGGAAGGUGGGAUGACGUCAAGUCAGCAUGGCCUUUAUAUCCUGGGCUACACACACGCUACAAUGGUCAGUACAAUGGGUUGCCAAGCCGCGAGGCGGAGCCAAUCCUAAAAAGCUGGCCUCAGUUCAGAUUGCAGUCUGAAACUCGACUGCAUGAAGUCGGAGUUGCUAGUAAACGCAGGUCAGCUAUACUGCGUUGAAUACGUUCCCGGGGCUU